This 343-nucleotide unclassified non-coding RNA is filed under the name soil metagenome. RNAcentral's name for it is "partial contains 5.8S ribosomal RNA, internal transcribed spacer 2, and large subunit ribosomal RNA". The stretch from base 1 to 119 matches the Rfam family "5.8S ribosomal RNA", at positions 35 to 154 of the family's 154-position model. The record is from RNAcentral.
GAUGAAGACGUAGCGAAAUGCGAUACGUAAUGUGAAUUGCAGAAUUCAGUGAAUCAUCGAGUCUUUGAACGCACAUUGCGCCCCCUGGUAUUCCGGGGGGCAUGCCUGUCCGAGCGUCAUUGCUGCCCUCAAGCACGGCUUGUGUGUUGGGCCUCCGUCCUCCUCCCGGGGGACGGGCCCGAAAGGCAGCGGCGGCACCGCGUCCGGUCCUCGAGCGUAUGGGGCUUCGUCACCCGCUCUUGUAGGCCCGGCCGGCGCUUGCCGACACAUAAUCUUUUUUCCAGGUUGACCUCGGAUCAGGUAGGGAUACCCGCUGAACUUAAGCAUAUCAAUAAGCGGAGGA